UCUUGGGUCAUUUAGAGGAAGUAAAAGUCGUAACAAGGUUUCCGUAGGUGAACCUGCGGAAGGAUCAUUACAUUCAGUAGCUUGCUACUGGUCGGGAGGCGCUGUAACUCCGCAUAGUAUUCAUUUACUGAUGAGCGGCUGGCCCUCUGUCUGUACCCUUGUCUUUUGCGCACUCAUGUUUCCUCGGCGGGCUUGCCCGCCGAUUGGACAAAACUAUAACCUUUUUAAUUUUCAAUCAGCGUCUGAAAAAACUUAAUAAUUACAACUUUCAACAACGGAUCUCUUGGUUCUGGCAUCGAUGAAGAACGCAGCGAAAUGCGAUAAGUAGUGUGAAUUGCAGAAUUCAGUGAAUCAUCGAAUCUUUGAACGCACAUUGCGCCCCUUGGUAUUCCAUGGGGCAUGCCUGUUCGAGCGUCAUUUGUACCCUCAAGCUCUGCUUGGUGUUGGGUGUUUGUCCUCUCCUCUGCGUUUGGACUCGCCUUAAAGCAAUUGGCAGCCAGUGUUUUGGUAUUGAAGCGCAGCACAUUUUGCGAUUCUAGCCGAUAAUACUUGCGUCCAUAAGCCUUUUUUAACUUUUGACCUCGGAUCAGGUAGGGAUACCCGCUGAACUUAAGCAUAUCAAUAAGCGGAGGA
RNAcentral lists this ribosomal RNA (633 nucleotides) under fungal sp. APA-2013. Its description in RNAcentral is "eukaryotic LSU rRNA". The stretch from base 264 to 417 matches the Rfam family "5.8S ribosomal RNA". The record is from RNAcentral. Lineage: Eukaryota; Fungi.